This 497-nucleotide ribosomal RNA is filed under the name uncultured bacterium. RNAcentral's name for it is "partial 16S ribosomal RNA". It matches the Rfam family "Bacterial small subunit ribosomal RNA", at positions 28 to 507 of the family's 1533-position model. The record is from RNAcentral.
GAUGAACGCUGGCGGCGUGCCUAAUACAUGCAAGUCGAGCGAACAGACGAGGAGCUUGCUCCUCUGACGUUAGCGGCGGACGGGUGAGUAACACGUGGAUAACCUACCUAUAAGACUGGGAUAACUUCGGGAAACCGGAGCUAAUACCGGAUAAUAUAUUGAACCGCAUGGUUCAAUAGUGAAAGGCGGUUUUGCUGUCACUUAUAGAUGGAUCCGCGCCGCAUUAGCUAGUUGGUAAGGUAACGGCUUACCAAGGCAACGAUACGUAGCCGACCUGAGAGGGUGAUCGGCCACACUGGAACUGAGACACGGUCCAGACUCCUACGGGAGGCAGCAGUAGGGAAUCUUCCGCAAUGGGCGAAAGCUUGACGGAGCAACGCCGCGUGAGUGAUGAAGGUCUUCGGAUCGUAAAACUCUGUUAUUAGGGAAGAACAAAUGUGUAAGUAACUAUGCACGUCUUGACGGUACCUAAUCAGAAAGCCACGGCUAACUACGUG